AGAGUUUGAUCCUGGCUCAGGAUGAACGCUAGCUACAGGCUUAACACAUGCAAGUCGAGGGGCAUCAGUUUGGUUUGCUUGCAACCAAAGCUGGCGACCGGCGCACGGGUGAGUAACACGUAUCCAACCUGCCUCAUACUCGGGGAUAGCCUUUCGAAAGAAAGAUUAAUAUCCGAUAGCAUAUAUUUCCCGCAUGGGUUUUAUAUUAAAGAAAUUCGGUAUGAGAUGGGGAUGCGUUCCAUUAGUUUGUUGGCGGGGUAACGGCCCACCAAGACUACGAUGGAUAGGGGUUCUGAGAGGAAGGUCCCCCCACAUUGGAACUGAGACACGGUCCAAACUCCUACGGGAGCAGCA
RNAcentral lists this ribosomal RNA (354 nucleotides) under uncultured bacterium. RNAcentral describes it as "bacterial SSU rRNA". It matches the Rfam family "Bacterial small subunit ribosomal RNA", at positions 8 to 353 of the family's 1533-position model. The record is from RNAcentral.